RNAcentral lists this ribosomal RNA (155 nucleotides) under uncultured eukaryote. RNAcentral's name for it is "partial small subunit ribosomal RNA". The record is from RNAcentral.
AAUCACCCGGGCAUCGCGACGAUCUUCGAGGCGGGCCGCACCGACGACGGCCAGCACUUCCUGGUCAUGGAACUCGUGGAAGGCGCGCCCCUCGACGAGCACGUCCGCGACCGGAGGCUGGGCUUGAGGGACCGCCUGGAGUUGUUCUGCACGGU